This 917-nucleotide ribosomal RNA is filed under the name Escherichia coli. RNAcentral's name for it is "partial 23S ribosomal RNA". It matches the Rfam family "Bacterial large subunit ribosomal RNA", at positions 233 to 1191 of the family's 2925-position model. The record is from RNAcentral. Lineage: Bacteria; Pseudomonadati; Pseudomonadota; Gammaproteobacteria; Enterobacterales; Enterobacteriaceae.
GAUUCCCCCAGUAGCGGCGAGCGAACGGGGAGCAGCCCAGAGCCUGAAUCAGUGUGUGUGUUAGUGGAAGCGUCUGGAAAGGCGUGCGAUACAGGGUGACAGCCCCGUACACAAAAAUGCACAUACUGUGAGCUCGAUGAGUAGGGCGGGACACGUGGUAUCCUGUCUGAAUAUGGGGGGACCAUCCUCCAAGGCUAAAUACUCCUGACUGACCGAUAGUGAACCAGUACCGUGAGGGAAAGGCGAAAAGAACCCCGGCGAGGGGAGUGAAAAAGAACCUGAAACCGUGUACGUACAAGCAGUGGGAGCCUCUUAAUGGGGUGACUGCGUACCUUUUGUAUAAUGGGUCAGCGACUUAUAUUCUGUAGCAAGGUUAACCGAAUAGGGGAGCCGAAGGGAAACCGAGUCUUAACUGGGCGUUAAGUUGCAGGGUAUAGACCCGAAACCCGGUGAUCUAGCCAUGGGCAGGUUGAAGGUUGGGUAACACUAACUGGAGGACCGAACCGACUAAUGUUGAAAAAUUAGCGGAUGACUUGUGGCUGGGGGUGAAAGGCCAAUCAAACCGGGAGAUAGCUGGUUCUCCCCGAAAGCUAUUUAGGUAGCGCCUCGUGAAUUCAUCUCCGGGGGUAGAGCACUGUUUCGGCAAGGGGGUCAUCCCGACUUACCAACCCGAUGCAAACUGCGAAUACCGGAGAAUGUUAUCACGGGAGACACACGGCGGGUGCUAACGUCCGUCGUGAAGAGGGAAACAACCCAGACCGCCAGCUAAGGUCCCAAAGUCAUGGUUAAGUGGGAAACGAUGUGGGAAGGCCCAGACAGCCAGGAUGUUGGCUUAGAAGCAGCCAUCAUUUAAAGAAAGCGUAAUAGCUCACUGGUCGAGUCGGCCUGCGCGGAAGAUGUAACGGGGCUAAACCAUG